ACGCGUACGCUUUUCUGUUUUCUGCGUACGCGAAAAGUCUCGCGGACGCUAAAAAGGAAUUUUCUUUUCGCGUACGCAACAAAAAUUCUCAAGCAACUACGCGUACGCUUUCGAUAUCUGCGUACGCGAAGUUGGCAGAGGUCUUGCGGACGCUAAACAUUUUUUCUGCUAUAGAAAGAAAUCCUCGCGUACGCUUUAGAGUAUCUGCGUACGCGAAGUGAGGUUAAGUAGAGGUCUCGCGGGUCGCGGACGCGAAAUAUUUUUGCUGCUAUAGAGAGAAAUCCAGAAAUCCACGCAGGCUUUAUAGGGUCGUGUCUCCGUACCUCGUAUUUGCGUACGCGAACUGGUUAGAGGUAGAAAAAAAUUAUCACAAAAUAUGAGCGCUAUAAAAUAUUACAUAAAAACUAACCUCUAAACAGUUAUAAUUUUGCACUUGGAAAAUGACAAUAAUGUACAACGGAUUUAAAUGACUGGGCAGAUAAAUAAUGAUAGUAAAGUCUUCUAAGCUCUUCAAAGGUGUCAACGUGAAAUUACUUUUUGAUGCUGGCGAUUGCAUCGAUUUUUGUAAAACUGAAGCUGUAGAUGAAUUCAAAACUGGUUGAUUCUGAAGAUUAUAAUAAUUGAUGUAUUAUUAUACAGAAUUAUUUAGAACCUGAUGCAUUUUCUAAAUUAAAAUCUAUGAGAGACAAAAGACGUAAAAUGAAGAAAACUAUAUUCAUCUGCAAUGUAUGCAGGUUAGAAGCACAUGAUGAAGUUGGAGAAUGUACUUGCUGUGGUGGAUGGGUACAUUACAAAUGCGUUAACAUGUCGCAAAGAGAUUUUGAUUCUGUAGAUAAGUGGUUUUUGUCCAUCCUGCGUUCAAUGUUUUUAAACCUUAUAAGUUUCUUAAAAUAAUCACAAGAUUUUGUAUUUCAAUUAUACCAUUAUUGGAUUUUUAUACUUAAUAUUAACAAAAAAAUUAUAUCAAUCAUUCAUUUUAAUUCUGCAACUAAACAGUUUAGUUUAUUCGGCGUUUCGUGUUUUAAAAAUAAAUAUUUUGAUAGUUUUUAGUUGGAUGUAAUAUUUUGGAGCGCUCAUAUUUUGUGAUAAUUUUUUCUACCUACUUUUGAAAAAGUUAAAUAAAUGUAUUAAAUUACACUUA
Nasonia vitripennis (jewel wasp) is the source of this 1141-nucleotide long non-coding RNA. RefSeq lists it as uncharacterized. The record is from RefSeq and is a predicted model, not a curated record. Lineage: Eukaryota; Metazoa; Arthropoda; Insecta; Hymenoptera; Pteromalidae. The transcript has 3 exons.